GUAACAAGGUUUCCGUAGGUGAACCUGCGGAAGGAUCAUUGUCGAGACCGAAAUAUAUCGAGCGAUUCGGAGAACCUGUAAACGGGCAACGGCACUCGCCGUUGCGUGACGUCCGUCCCGUCGCCGGGGCCUCAACGGGGCCACGACGUGGGGCGGAUAAAACUCAAACCGGCGCAGCUACGCGCCAAGGGAAUACAAAUAGACACGAGCCCGCAUCGGGUUCGAUGGCGUGGAGUGCUGUCGCACACCACACGAAUCAAAACGACUCUCGGCAAUGGAUAUCUCGGCUCUCGCAUCGAUGAAGAGCGCAGCGAAAUGCGAUACGUGGUGCGAAUUGCAGAAUCCCGCGAACCAUCGAGAAUUUGAACGCAAGUUGCGCCCGAGGCCAUCCGGCCAAGGGCACGUCCGCCUGGGCGUCAAGCGUUGCGUCGCUCCGUGCCAGCUCCAUUCCACCUGAUGGGUGUGCAUGCGGGAGGGUCGGAUGUGCAGAGUGGCUCGUCGUGCCCGCGGGCGCGGCGGGCUGAAGUGCGGGUGAUCUUCUCGUUGGCCACGAGCAACAAGGGGUGGAUGAAAAUUGUGCCUGUGUUGUAUCGUGUCGGCCUGAGAACAGAUCGUACCCUGCGGAUGAUCCCAGCCCAAGCGUCGUUCCGUGGACGGCGGCUUGGAAUGCGACCCCAGGAUGGGCGAGGCCACCCGCUGAGUUUAAGCAUAUC
RNAcentral lists this ribosomal RNA (713 nucleotides) under Pabstiella seriata. Its description in RNAcentral is "eukaryotic LSU rRNA". The stretch from base 264 to 419 matches the Rfam family "5.8S ribosomal RNA". Lineage: Eukaryota; Viridiplantae; Streptophyta; Magnoliopsida; Asparagales; Orchidaceae. The record is from RNAcentral.